RNAcentral lists this non-coding RNA (33 nucleotides) under Trichobilharzia regenti. The record is from RNAcentral. Lineage: Eukaryota; Metazoa; Platyhelminthes; Trematoda; Strigeidida; Schistosomatidae.
CUGACGAGUCCCAAAUAGGACGAAAUGCGCAUU